This 334-nucleotide ribosomal RNA is filed under the name uncultured eukaryote. Its description in RNAcentral is "partial 18S ribosomal RNA". It matches the Rfam family "Eukaryotic small subunit ribosomal RNA", at positions 1470 to 1796 of the family's 1831-position model. The record is from RNAcentral.
CCCUUAGAUGUCCUGGGCUGCACGCGCGCUACACUGAUGUGUCCAGUAAGCACCUAACCUCUUCCGAAAGGAACGGGUAACCUUUGCAAAGCACAUCGUGAUGGGGAUAGAUUAUUGCAAUUAUUAGUCUUGAACGAGGAAUUCCCAGUAAGCGCAAGUCAUCAGCUUGCGUUGAUUACGUCCCUGCCCUUUGUACACACCGCCCGUCGCUACUACCGAUUGGAUGGCUUAGUGAGACCCUCGGACCGAUAGGCUGUCGCCGCGGCAACGUGGCAACCGGCCCGUCGGGAAGAAGGUCAAACUUGACUGUCUAGAGGAAGUAAAAGUCGUAACA